CAAGCACUAAAUUUUUCGUUUGAAUUAUUGACAUCAAAUAACUGCUUAUAAAUUAAGGAAGAAUUUUUCUAAGGUUGAAAAUUGCAUGAGUAAAAUUUGUGUAAAAGCAUGAAUUUU
Molecule: non-coding RNA, 117 nt
Filed under: Aggregatibacter aphrophilus
Lineage: Bacteria; Pseudomonadati; Pseudomonadota; Gammaproteobacteria; Pasteurellales; Pasteurellaceae
Description: Aggregatibacter sRNA JA02
Rfam family: Aggregatibacter sRNA JA02
Source: RNAcentral